CCUACGGGAGGCAGCAGUGGGGAAUAUUGCACAAUGGGGGAAAUCCUGAUGCAGCGACGCCGCGUGAAGGAAGAAGUAUUUCGGUAUGUAAACUUCUAUCAGCAGGGGAGAAAAUGACGGUACCUGACUAAGAAGCCCCGUCUAACUACGUGCCAGCAGCCGCGGUAAUACGUAGGGGGCCAGCGUUAUCCGGAUUUACUGGGUGUUAAGGGAGCGUAGGCGGGUUAGCAAGUCAGAAGUGAAAGCCCGGGGCUCAACUCCGGGACUGCUUUUGAAACUGUUGAACUAGAGUGCAGGAGAGGUAAGUGGAAUUCGUGGUGUAGCGGUGAAAUGCGUAGAUAUUAGGAGGAACCCCAGUGGUGAAGGCGGCUUACUGGACUGUAAAUGACGCUGAGGCUCGAAAGCGUGGGGAGCAAACAGGAUUAGAUACCCGAGUAGUC
RNAcentral lists this ribosomal RNA (440 nucleotides) under uncultured bacterium. RNAcentral's name for it is "partial 16S ribosomal RNA". It matches the Rfam family "Bacterial small subunit ribosomal RNA", at positions 338 to 795 of the family's 1533-position model. The record is from RNAcentral.